This 460-nucleotide ribosomal RNA is filed under the name uncultured bacterium. Its description in RNAcentral is "bacterial SSU rRNA". It matches the Rfam family "Bacterial small subunit ribosomal RNA", at positions 29 to 524 of the family's 1533-position model. The record is from RNAcentral.
AGUGAACGUUGGCGGCGUGGAUUAGGCAUGCAAGUCGAGCGAUCGUAGCAAUACGGGAGCGGCAAACGGGGGUAGGAAUACAUCGGAACGUACCUUUUGGGUUGAGAAUAGCGUUGGGAAACUGACGGUAAUACUCAAUAAAGUCGAGAGACCAAAGGUUUACUGCCGGAAGAGCGGCCGAUGCGAUAUUAGGUAGUUGGUGGGGUAAUGGCCUACCAAGCCUGAGAUGUCUAGGGGGUGUGAGAGCAUGGCCCCCACCACUGGGACUGAGAUACUGCCCAGACACCUACGGGUGGCUGCAGUCGAGGAUCUUCGUCAAUGGGCGAAAGCCUGAACGAGCGACGCCGCGUGCGGGAUGAAGGCCCUUGGGUUGUAAACCGCUGUCAGGGGGGAUGAACCGUAAGGUUGACAGAGCCCCAGAGGAAGCACGGGCUAAGUUCGUGCCAGCAGCCGCGGUAAU